Molecule: ribosomal RNA, 599 nt
Filed under: Pseudomonas sp. LS41
Lineage: Bacteria; Pseudomonadati; Pseudomonadota; Gammaproteobacteria; Pseudomonadales; Pseudomonadaceae
Description: bacterial SSU rRNA
Rfam family: Bacterial small subunit ribosomal RNA
Source: RNAcentral
AGACUGGCGGCAAGCCUACACAUGCAAGUCGCAGCGGUUGACGGGAGCUUGCUCCCUGAUUCAGCGGCGGACGGGUGAGUAAUGCCUAGGAAUCUGCCUAUUAGUGGGGGACAACGUUUCGAAAGGAACGCUAAUACCGCAUACGUCCUACGGGAGAAAGCAGGGGACCUUCGGGCCUUGCGCUAAUAGAUGAGCCUAGGUCGGAUUAGCUAGUUGGUGGGGUAAUGGCUCACCAAGGCGACGAUCCGUAACUGGUCUGAGAGGAUGAUCAGUCACACUGGAACUGAGACACGGUCCAGACUCCUACGGGAGGCAGCAGUGGGGAAUAUUGGACAAUGGGCGAAAGCCUGAUCCAGCCAUGCCGCGUGUGUGAAGAAGGUCUUCGGAUUGUAAAGCACUUUAAGUUGGGAGGAAGGGCAGUAAAUUAAUACUUUGCUGUUUUGACGUUACCGACAGAAUAAGCACCGGCUAACUCUGUGCCAGCAGCCGCGGUAAUACAGAGGGUGCAAGCGUUAAUCGGAAUUACUGGGCGUAAAGCGCGCGUAGGUGGUUUGUUAAGUUGGAUGUGAAAGCCCCGGGCUCAACCUGGGAACUGCAUC